Molecule: ribosomal RNA, 484 nt
Filed under: uncultured bacterium
Lineage: Bacteria
Description: bacterial SSU rRNA
Rfam family: Bacterial small subunit ribosomal RNA
Source: RNAcentral
GGACGAACGCUGGCGGCGUGCCUAACACAUGCAAGUCGAACGGAGUAUGCUUGAGAUUCGUCGAGAGGCAUACUUAGUGGCGGACGGUGAGUAAUGCGUGAGCAACCUGCCCUUCGAGAGGGGGACAACAGUUGGAAACGACUGCUAAUACCGCAUGAUGUAUCCGGGAGGCAUCUUCUGGAUACCAAAGAUUUUAUCGCUGAGGGAUGGGCUCACGUCUGAUUAGCUAGUUGGUGGGUAACGGCCUACCAAGGCUGCGAUCAGUAGCCGGACUGAGAGGUUGAACGGCCACAUUGGGACUGAGAUACGGCCCAGACUCCUACGGGAGGCAGCAGUGGGGAAUAUUGGGCAAUGGGCGCAAGCCUGACCCAGCAACGCCGCGUGAAGGAAGAAGGCCUUCGGGUUGUAAUCUUCUUUUAUGAGGGACGAAGGAAGUGACGGUACCUCAUGAAUAAGCCACGGCUAACUACGUGCCAGCCGCGGC